GGAUGAACGCUGGCGGCGUGCCUAAUACAUGCAAGUAGAACGCUGAAGGAGGAGCUUGCUCUUCUGGAUGAGUUGCGAACGGGUGAGUAACGCGUAGGUAACCUGCCUGGUAGCGGGGGAUAACUAUUGGAAACGAUAGCUAAUACCGCAUGACAACAGUUAUUGCAUGAUAACUGUUUAAAAGGGGCAACUGCUCCACUACCAGAUGGACCUGCGUUGUAUUAGCUAGUUGGUGAGGUAACGGCUCACCAAGGCGACGAUACAUAGCCGACCUGAGAGGGUGAUCGGCCACACUGGGACUGAGACACGGCCCAGACUCCUACGGGAGGCAGCAGGAGGGAAUCUUCGGCAAUGGACGGAAGUCUGACCGAGCAACGCCGCGUGAGUGAAGAAGGUUUUCGGAUCGUAAAGCUCUGUUGUAAGAGAAGAACGAGUGUGAGAGUGGAAAGUUCACACUGUGACGGUAUCUUACCAGAAAGGGACGGCUAACUACGUG
This 496-nucleotide ribosomal RNA is filed under the name uncultured bacterium. RNAcentral's name for it is "partial 16S ribosomal RNA". It matches the Rfam family "Bacterial small subunit ribosomal RNA", at positions 27 to 507 of the family's 1533-position model. The record is from RNAcentral.